RNAcentral lists this ribosomal RNA (492 nucleotides) under uncultured bacterium. RNAcentral's name for it is "bacterial SSU rRNA". It matches the Rfam family "Bacterial small subunit ribosomal RNA", at positions 8 to 507 of the family's 1533-position model. The record is from RNAcentral.
AGAGUUUGAUCAUGGCUCAGAUUGAACGCUGGCGGCAGGCUUAACACAUGCAAGUCGAGCGGAGACUUCGGUCUUAGCGGCGAACGGGUGAGGAAUGCCUGGGAAUCUGCCUGUUAGUGGGGGAUAACGUUCCGAAAGGAACGCUAAUACCGCAUACGUCCUACGGGAGAAAGCAGGGGACCUUCGGGCCUUGCGCUAACAGAUGAGCCCAGGUCGGAUUAGCUAGUUGGUGGGGUAAAGGCUCACCAAGGCGACGAUCCGUAGCUGGUCUGAGAGGAUGAUCAGCCACACUGGAACUGAGACACGGUCCAGACUCCUACGGGAGGCAGCAGUGGGGAAUAUUGGACAAUGGGCGAAAGCCUGAUCCAGCCAUGCCGCGUGUGUGAAGAAGGCCUUCGGGUUGUAAAGCACUUUAAGCGGGGAGGAAGUACUUGGGGCUAAUACCCCUGAGUGUUGACGUUACCCGCAGAAUAAGCACCGGCUAACUCUGUG